RNAcentral lists this ribosomal RNA (1155 nucleotides) under Triticum aestivum (bread wheat). Its description in RNAcentral is "partial small subunit ribosomal RNA". The record is from RNAcentral. Lineage: Eukaryota; Viridiplantae; Streptophyta; Magnoliopsida; Poales; Poaceae.
AUGAUGGAGUCAAUGGCAAGUAUUGCUCCAAGUGCCGGCUCAACUACAGCAAUAGGACUUGAAGAUGAUGCCAACAACUUUUCCAUGGUCCAAAGGGGAUUGGACAUACAUGAUGAAGAUUGUUUCAACACACCAAAAAGAACCAGUAGCCUCCCCGCGUGUGGGUCAACUUAUGAGCCUGAGUGUGAUGAUAGCCUACAACCCUCAAUUGGCAUGCGAUUUGAUAGCUGGGAGGCAGGUUUAGCAUUCUAUAGAAUGUAUGCCCAUGAGGUUGGCUUCUCUGUACGCAUAUGGACACAACACAAAGGAGAGGGUGGUGUAAUAAUUUGGAAGAAGUUUGUUUGUGCAAGAGAAGGUUGGAGGAAGGAAAAGUCAGUGGAAAUUGCCCAAGAUACUCAGGAAAUGCAGAGAAAAAUGGUUAAAAGAAAUAUCAAGAUAACCAGAUGCGGUUGUGAGGCUAUGAUCAGAUUGAAGAGGCAAGUUGAUGGCAAGUAUGAGGUCGUCCAGUUUGUUCAAUCACACACGCACCAACUUAUCUCACCAAGUAAGAGACAUCUCAUCCGGUCAAAUAGAGAGGUAACUAGUGAUUUGAGAAACAAACUAUUUACAUGCAGUAUGGCAUUGCUUGGCACAUCAAAAACUUAUCGCGUGCUUACUAUUGAGAAAGGUGGGCCAGGGAACAUAGGUUGCACGAAACGUGACUUACAAAACUAUGACCAUGAUUUUAGGGCAGCAAUUAAGGGAGCAGAUGGACAACUUAUAGUAGAUAUAAUGGAAAAUAAAAAGAAGGCCAAUCCAGCAUUCUAUUUUGAUUACCUGGUAGAGGAGAACAAUAAACUGACAAAUAUUUUCUGGGCAGAUAGUAUAUGUAGAAAGAACUACUCAUUGUUUGGUGAUGUUGUGUCAUUCGACUCUACAUAUAGAUUCAACAAGUAUGACCUGGUAUUUACCCCUUUUACUGGAGUUAACCAUCAUAAAUCUUGUGUUACAUUUGGUGCUGCUUUUUUGUCAAAUGAGAAGAUUGCAUCAUACAAAUGGUUAUUCCAGACUUUCUUGAAAGCAAUGUGUGGGGUUGCACCAAAGCUAAUCAUAACUGAGCUGCAAGAGGACAAUUCUAGCGACUCAAGACACUUCACAACAUCCAGCUUUCCUUGA